GAUGAGAACGCAGCGAAAUGCGAUAAGUAAUGUGAAUUGCAGAAUUCAGUGAAUCAUCGAAUCUUUGAACGCACAUGGCGCCUUCCAGUAUCCUGGGAGGCAUGCCUGUCCGAGCGUCGUUUCAACCCUCGAGCCCCCGUGGCCCGGCGUUGGGGAUCUGCCACGGCAGGCCCCUAAAACCAGUGGCGGACCCGAAGGCCCUCUCCUUUGCGCAGUAGCAUCAGCCUCGCAUUGGGAUCCCUCGGCGUCCUGCCUCUAAACCCCCCACAAGUCCGCUCCGGCGGCACCAAGGUUGACCUCGUAUCAGGUAGGAAUACCCGCUGAACUUAAGCAUAUCAAUAAGCGGAGGA
RNAcentral lists this unclassified non-coding RNA (350 nucleotides) under soil metagenome. Its description in RNAcentral is "partial contains 5.8S ribosomal RNA, internal transcribed spacer 2, and large subunit ribosomal RNA". The stretch from base 5 to 119 matches the Rfam family "5.8S ribosomal RNA", at positions 40 to 154 of the family's 154-position model. The record is from RNAcentral.